GAGAUUACACUGUCCAGUCCGCUCAGUCUGUACUAACAGAAGCCUGCCAUUCCCAUUCCUGCACCCCCCUCCUCCCGGGCACAAAAGGAAAUGCCCUAAAGGGUGAGUGACUGUCAGACCAGCCUGAGGGGAGCAAUGGGAAAAGCUGCUUGCUGCGAAGAGGUAGGCUUGGCAGGACUGCAGGCAGAGGACUCUCCCCACCCCCCUGCAGGCUGGCCAGGGACAAGCUGGGAGGACGGAGGCCGGCCCUGGCCCAGCCCCAGGCAAGGGAGGAGCCUCCACCCAGAUGGUGCAGGUGGAGGGCCUGGGCUCAGGUGUGUCCUGUAGGAAGUGAUUGCUACUUGGCUGGCAGAGGCAGAGGAAAGCAGAUUAUUGUCCUGAGGACCCAGCUCUGGGAGGCUGGGCUCGUCUCCCCAAAUCUGCCUUGGAGGAAAGCAAUGGAAGAGGAAGGGGUAAUAAACUUCAAGGAACUUCGAGCCAAAUUUCAAAAUCUUGAUGCUCCACCUCUUCCAGGACCUAUUAAAUUCCCAGCAGGUGUUUCUCCAAAGGGUGACAUUGGAGGCACACAGUCAUCUCAAAUUUUGACCAAUGGAAAACCCCUCUCAUCCAACCACAAGCAGCUUCCACCAUAUUGUUCCAGUAGUGAGUCCCAGCCUCUUCAACGUCAGAAAAUAAAGUUGGCUCAGAAGAGUGAAAUUUCAAAAUGUUCUAACUCCCUAGGGCCUCUAGGAAAGUCCAUUGUAUCUUCUGCAGUAAGUUCACAGAAAGCUUCUCUGCUGUUCGAUGUGACUCAAUCAAAUGUUGAGAUAACCACUAAGGAAAAAGUAAUGGUGGCCAGUAGCUUCAGAAACAAACUCUGGAACUGGGAGAAGGUUUCAGCUCAGAAAAGUGAAAUGUCAUCAGCCCUUCUCCUUGCCAACUGUGGAAAUAAGUCCUUCCAUCUGGAAGGACAAAAAGGCAUGAAGCUUUCUCCAGAGGAACCCAGGAAAAAGCUGGAAACAAAAGGAGCCCAGACUCUUCCUUACCAGAAGCACUUGGUGACCCCCCAAAGAUUACUUACCAUCUCUGAAGAUCCCUGUUUUCUAAUUUCUCAACAUAUCAGGAAGAGCUGGGAAAACCCACAUCCUGAGAGGAGCCCAGCAAGCAGCACCUGCCAGCCUAUCUAUGAGUGUGAGCUUGCCAGCCAGGCCCCAGGAAAACAGCCAGAUGUCAGGCAUCACCACCUUCCCAAAAUGAAGCCACUGCCGUCCAUCGACUCUGUGGGUCCUCCUCCCCAAAAGCCUUCAAGGCCUCCCAUCGUGAACCUCCAGGCCUUUCAGAGGCAGCCAGUUGCUGUUCCCAAGACUCCAAGGGAAGUGACUGUGGAAGAGGACUCCCUGCCUUCAGAGAGGCUUUUCAGUGCAGAAUUUGAAGAACCACAUAAUUAUGAGGCAACAAUUCCAUGUCUGAGAUACUCUGGCAACUCCAUUAACCUGUGCACUGCAAAAGAAAUUGCUGAUCCAACUUACGAAGUUGGAAUUGAAGAACUCCAAAAGCCUUGCAAAAAUUUCCCCUAUCAAGAACCUAGUGCUAAACAUGAAGAUAAAAAAAUGAAGGAAAAAGAGCCAUGUGAAUUGGACCCUAAAAACACAGAAAAGGAACCACAUUCAAACCAUGCUUUCAAGGCAGAUGCCUAUGAAGGGACACCUGAAAAACUCCAGAUGACCAAUGUCCACAUGGGUAGAAGAAACAUGUUGGCUGGAAAGCAGGAGGCCAUGAUUGACGUCAUCCAGACAAAUCCCUUCCCUGAGGGCCCGAGGUUGGCCAGGAACUCCCAAGGCCACUUGAUAUGUGUGAAUGACCUUAUGAUGGCAGCUGAUGAGAUGUUCUUCAGGGGGGUUUCUUAUUUCCUUUCAGGUGGGUAUCUGGAGGUUUUGGAGUCAACUAAAGAAGCUUUAGACCUAGGGGUCUCUAAGCCAAGUUCCGUCUCGGAGGAGAUAUAUGAUGAUGUCGAGUACCCCAGGAAAGAGGUAUCGAGGUUGAACUUCUCUAGCUCAUUUGCCUCAAAUAGUGAAGAAAAUAGAGAGGAAAUGUAUGAAGAUGUCUACAAAACAAAGAACAACUACCCAAAGAUAGAUUUAGAUGGAAAAGAAGCACUGAAAAGACUGCAGCAAUUCUUUAAGAAAGAAAAGGAUAGAUUUAAAAUAAAGAAAACCAAGUCAAAAGAAAACUUAAGUGCAUUUUCCAUUUUGCUGCCUGAUUUAGAACUUAGGUCUCAGGAAGUUAUUAACUAUGAUGAUGUGGACCUGAGUGAAAAAGAGUCAAAACAUGAAGAUAAACUGAAAACAUGGAAGCCCAAGUUUCUGAUACCAAAGGAAAAAGAGAAAAACGGUGCUGAAGAAUCAGAAAGUUUCUCUCCUAGGAAUUUCUUCAAAACCAAGGGGCAAAACUUAGAAAAGAACAGAAUGAAAAGAGAAGAAAAACUCUUUAGAGAAAGAUUUAAGUACAAACAAAGAGAUUAUUGUCAUCAACACAGCAGUGGCCUGUUCAAGUAAUUCAAGAAAUGGAAUAUUCGAUUUGCCAAUAACCCCUGGAGAAGAACUGGAAGUCAUUGAUACCACUGAGCAAAAUCUAGUGAUAUGUCGUAAUUCUAAAGGCAAAUAUGGAUAUGUGCUCAUUGAACAUCUAGAUUUCAAGCAUCAAAGUUGGUCACCUUAGAAAGAUCAAGAUCAAAUGCUAUGGUCUGCACAAGGGAGAACUAGUCCUAAGAUCUUAGUCCUGCCUUACAUCAGUUUCAGUUUACAUGUCUAAAUUUUGAGAUGGUGGAAUCUGUGGAAACUUUCGUUCAGAACUCAAAAGAGAAAAAUAAAAACAAAUCCUCAACAUUUAGAUGUUGGUUUCACUCCUAAAAGGUUAUCUUUCAAUGUCUAUUUCAGUAUCUACUUCACUGCCAGUUCAAGAGAAUGUGAAACAGUAUGUGUUAGCAUUUGAGCACUUAUUUAAUGAGCCACAGCCAAAGUUAGAAAUCAUGCCUUAUGGCACCUAGUCAGUUGUGCAGAUGGUUAGUUUGCUUCUAAUAUUAGUACAUGAGCGUUUGCAAUUUCUAGAUGUUGUGCAUUCAAAUUUGGAAUAAUUUAAUUCUGAACAGUAAAUAGCGUAACCAAGUGCUUUUAAAUAGUCAAGUUUAAGGUAUAAUCUUAAAGUAAUUAUGGCUCAGUCUUUAAAAAAAAAAUCAAGGUAUACCUGUCCUUUUACUUUAUCACAAAAAUUAACUUACAUGAAUACGGUUCCACAUUGGUUUCUUUUGGGAAUAGUCUGCUGAAGAAUAAUUUAUUCCUAAACUUACCCAUCAUUUUAAGAAGGGCCCAAACGUACUUAACAAAAUAAUAUAUAUGCUAUAUUACUUUAAAACAUCUUUGUGUCCAAAAUAAGAACAAUUGGCAUUAUUUUGUCUAUGCCCAAAUACCUGUUCAAAUAAUAGCAUUCUUAUGUACUUUCAUUUAUAUGGAAUUAAAUAAAAAUUUAAAAGCUGAA
Sapajus apella (tufted capuchin) is the source of this 3513-nucleotide RNA transcript. It is a transcript of the gene named FYN binding protein 2, with no coding region annotated. The transcript is spliced from 21 exons. The record is from RefSeq and is a predicted model, not a curated record. NCBI's taxonomy places the organism in Eukaryota, Metazoa, Chordata, Mammalia, Primates, Cebidae.